GCCUCGGUGGUGUAGUGGUAGUAGCACCCGUUAACGUUAUGGAUGAAACGCGGGUUCGAUCCCCAGCUGAGGCC
Parelaphostrongylus tenuis is the source of this 74-nucleotide non-coding RNA. NCBI's taxonomy places the organism in Eukaryota, Metazoa, Nematoda, Chromadorea, Rhabditida, Metastrongylidae. The record is from the annotation of a GenBank genome assembly.